AGUGAACGCUGGCGGUAGGCCUAACACAUGCAAGUCGAACGGCAGCACAGUAAGAGCUUGCUCUUACGGGUGGCGAGUGGCGGACGGGUGAGGAAUACAUCGGAAUCUACUUUUUCGUGGGGGAUAACGUAGGGAAACUUACGCUAAUACCGCAUACGACCUACGGGUGAAAGCAGGGGAUCUUCGGACCUUGCGCGAUUGAAUGAGCCGAUGUCGGAUUAGCUAGUUGGCGGGGUAAAGGCCCACCAAGGCGACGAUCCGUAGCUGGUCUGAGAGGAUGAUCAGCCAAACUGAAACUGAGAAACGGUCCAGACUCCUACGGAGGCAGCAGUGGGGAAUAUUGGACAAUGGGCGCAAGCCUGAUCCAGCCAUACCGCGUGGGUGAAGAAGGCCUUCGGGUUGUAAAGCCCUUUUGUUGGGAAAGAAAAGCAGCAGGUUAAUACCCCGCUGUUCUGACGGUACCCAAAGAAUAAGCACCGGCUAACUUCGUG
This 491-nucleotide ribosomal RNA is filed under the name uncultured bacterium. RNAcentral describes it as "partial 16S ribosomal RNA". It matches the Rfam family "Bacterial small subunit ribosomal RNA", at positions 29 to 507 of the family's 1533-position model. The record is from RNAcentral.